Molecule: long non-coding RNA, 1380 nt
Organism: Panthera uncia (snow leopard)
Lineage: Eukaryota; Metazoa; Chordata; Mammalia; Carnivora; Felidae
Exons: 3
Source: RefSeq, a predicted model, not a curated record
UGGUCGCGCCUCUCCCAGGGUCCAGGGGUCCUUUUGCGGUCCGCGGUGUUUUCCUAGGGCUUCCCGUGUUCAGACAAAGGAGCGGGCAACUUUCCACCGUCUGCGGAACGGAGCGACGGCGCGUUUCGGUCGUUCGCAGUUACGGGUGCAGAGUAGAAAAUUCUGUGCCCCGGCUGCCCACCUGGGUCCUCACUUUCGCUGCCUCGGCCGACUUAGUUCAUUGCGCUUGUGACUUCUGCAGUUGUCUCUGAAUUUUCCUACAAAUUAAGGAGCAAGACCAGUACUGGUUGUUGCAGGUGAUUUCUUAAGGAUGGUUUCACGGACAAGCGUUGGGAUUCAUAUGAACAGAUGGAUCGGCGCAGGAUGUAGACCGUUGUCUUGAUGUGCUUUUUUUGGUUGUGGUUAAAUGUACAUAACAAAAAUUGCCCUUUUAACCAUUUUUAAGUGUGUAGCUCUGUGGCAUUAAGAACACAUUCCAUGCAUUGCCCUUAAAGACAUUCUGAAGAUAACAGCUGGCUACUUAGACAGUGUUAUAUUAAAAGUGUACAGAUAAAUGUGUUUGUGUAUUUUCUCACCAAAUGGUAGAGAAUCAAGUGACUUUCAUGUGGGACAUGAAGCGAUAAUUGGACGCAAAACCAGAAGGGGAAGGUGCAUUUUAGUAGGCUAACUAAAAAUAAGUAGGCAAACGCUGAGAGGGUAGGGGUAAUGAUAGGGUACAGCAGAGCAGGCGAGAUCAUUAACACUCAUUUCCAGAUACCCACCACAGUGUCUCUGAUUCUCUGAUAAUUUCUACAACUUGGUAAGAAGAAACGGAUUAAUGUUUCAUCCUUGACACUUUAUUUUCCCUCAUUGAAGAACGAAUUGUUCGCAGGUUGAAUGUCACUUUUUUUAAGUGAGCCAUCGUCGUUGUAUUUGGUUAUCAGAUAAAGAUAAUUUAAAAGCAAAAUUUCUCAGCUAUUUAAAAUUAUAUCGGAUAUCUUUUUUUAUACUUUCAUUUUGGAAAGCAUUACAUUCAAAGAAAGCAUAUAUUCAGAAAUAUUUCUAUGAGAGAGGUUAGCUAACUCUGAAAGCAUUCAGAUAUGACUUGAUAAACAUUUGUACCUGCUACCAAAAUGGUAGAUUAAAAAGAGCAAAAACCGGGGCGCCUGGGUGGCUCCGUCGGUUUAGGGGCCGACUUCGGCUCAGGUCAUGAUCUCGCGGUCCGUGAGUUCGAGCCCCGCGUCGGGCACUGUGCUGACAGCUCAGAGCCUGGAGCCUGUUUCAGAUUCUGUGUCUCCCUCUCUCUGACCCUCCCCCAUUCAUGCUCUGUCUCUCUCUGUCUGAAAAAUAAAUAAAUAUUUAAAAAAAAAUUAAAAAAAAAAAAAAGAGCAAAAACCAAAA